RNAcentral lists this ribosomal RNA (256 nucleotides) under uncultured bacterium. Its description in RNAcentral is "partial 16S ribosomal RNA". It matches the Rfam family "Bacterial small subunit ribosomal RNA", at positions 524 to 777 of the family's 1533-position model. The record is from RNAcentral.
UACGGGGGGAGCAAGCGUUGUUCGGAUUUACUGGGCGUAAAGGGCGCGUAGGCGGCCACCGCAAGUCGACUGUGAAAUCUCCGGGCUUAACCCGGAACGGUCAGCCGAUACUGCGGGGCUAGAGUGCAGAAGGGGCAACUGGAAUUCCCGGGUGUAGCGGUGAAAUGCGUAGAUAUCGGGAGGAACACCUGUGGCGAAGGCGGCCCCCUGGUUGGAUACUGACGCUGAUACGCGAAAGCGUGGGGAGCAAACAGGG